UCAGAAAUGAAUAUACUUAAGCUAUCAAUAGUACUUUUCCCACGUCUGAAACCGAAUUGGGAUUCACAUAAUAGACCGUUAUGCUCAACAAACCAUUCUAAACGAUUUUUUAUAAGAUGUUCUGUAAUUUUCAUCAAAACAGAAGAAAGUGCGAUUGGGCGAUAGGCAGAAUGGUCUGAAGAACACCUAUUAGGUUUCAGUACGGGAAUUAUUUCUUGACGUUUCCACGUGGAGGGGAUGUUACCAGAUGUCACUAUGGAAUUUAUAAGAGAUAAAUAAUAAAAUAAAGCAUCAUCAUCUAAAUGAGAGAUAAAGGAAUACGGAAUACCGUCCAGUCCAGGAGCAGAAUCCUUAACAUGAGACAAUACACUUUUUAGUUCAGUGAGAGAAAAUAUACUGUUUAAACCAAAACAGUUAUCAUUAUUUAUAUUUAUUACAGGGUAACCAAUUAUUAAGUCUUCAGGAACGAAAGGUGGAGCCAAUUUAUCUAAAAAGCUAUUAACUAAAUGAAAAGGGAUUGAUUUUGGAGAUGAAUCUUUGUAUGCAGAUCUAAACCUUCUUAUAUUUUGCCAUACAAGAGAUGGUUUGACAUCAGCAUAUUUUCUUCUCUUUACUGCCUCAGUACAUUCGUUAUCCCACCAAGGAGGAGAAGGAAUAAAACCCAAAGAGCUAUUUUUACUUGGAAAUAUCUCAUUGGCAACCUCAAUAAAGAUUCUUGCUAAAGAAUCUGCACACUGAGAUUCUGUACCUGGAUUAAUUUUUGGAAGUGUUGGAAAUGAUAAUAAUAGUGGGAAGUGAUCACAGAUCAAGUGAUCAAAAGUAGAUCGUAAUGGAUCCCAGGACAAAGAAGAAGCAAGAUUAGGUGUAGUGACUGUUAAAUCUGGAGCACUUGGGCCCUCGUCAGGAUGAGAACGUCGUGUAGGACGACCAUCAUUUAAUAUACACAAAUUCACUGAAUCAAAUAUAUCUAUUAAUGUGUUACCAUAACUAUUAGAAGAUAAGUAACCCCAGGAUUCAUGGCGACAGUUAAAAUCACCAAGGAUCAUAAAAGGCUUCGGAAGAAUGGAAAUAAUAUCUUUAAUUUCAUUUAAGAUUGCAGAAGAAGGAUGAGGUAUAUAAAUAGAUACAUAACAGAUAUUUUCAACUAAAGCAGCAAUAAUAGAAAAAUCAUUACUGUGAGAAGGAAUAGAGAAGAGGGAAAAGGAAAGAGGGUGUUUCACAAGCAUGGCUACUCCGCCAUGCCCAUCCACACGAUCUUCUCUGAGACAUGAAUAACCACGAAUCUUAAAUAAAGAUCCUGGUUUCAACCAUGUCUCUUGAAGAGCACAGAUAUAAGAAACUAAUAAGGCAGCGUUGGACGGUGAAAAUUCAUUCGAUUGACUAAGAGAUUUUAUAAGAGAAAUAAUUAAAUCAAUUACUGAGGAUUCCAAAGGAUUUUCAUUUUCUUUGUUAAUUAAUGCACAUCCAUUAGAGGGUUGGGGAAUAUUAAAAUCCCUUAAAAUUUCUUGGUGAGCAGAUUUGUCAUAUCCUUUGCUAAGUGUAGGUGGAGGCUUUGGUUUAACAAAAACAGUUUUUUUAUAUGAAGUAUUGUUUAUAGCUUUAGGUGUUGAAUGUUGAUGCUGGGUUGGAAAAGUAUUAGGAGUGAUGUUAGGUGAUGAGAGUAAUGUAUCUGCAUAUGAAAUUCGAGAGACAGAUGGAUGUAUCUUUGAAGCUUCUGAAUAGGAAAUACAGUUUUUAGCCAUUGAUUCCUUUAUAGCUCUUUGUCUUUCAUAUUCUAAACAUUUUUUAUCAGUUGCAAUAUGGGAACCUUUACAUAAACAACAAGAUAUAAAAUCAUCUUGAACAGAGCAGUUAUCACCACUAUGUCCUUGACCACAUCUAAAACAUCUUGGUUUAGAUCUGCAUUGAGAUUUCACAUGACCAAACCGACAACAAUUGUAGCAUUGAAUAGUAGGAUAUAUAUACAAGUCUACAGUAAGAGAAGUGUAGCACAUAUAUACUCGUUUAGGCAAAAACUGUCCAUCAAAAGUAAAUACCACAGACUCAGUACAUUUAAGAUGGUUUUGUCCAUCAAUCAUCAUCUUUCGUUUUAUUCUCCUAAUUUUUAUGAUUGGACCACAGCCAAUAGGAACAGAAACAUUAUCUUUUAUUUCCUCUUCAGACCACUCAGCUGGUACUCCUCUGACUAUUCCUAUUCUACUCACAGAAAAUGAUGGAAUAAAAGCCUUAUAUUUUUCAUUUUCUAAAUUUUUGUUUUCAACAAAGUCAUUUGCAUCUUGGUACUUAGAAAAAGAAAUAGAUAACCUAUUCCGGCCUAUCCUUUUUAAACUUCCAUUCACAAUAUUUUUAAUAGAAUUUCUUUUGAGAAAACGACCAAAUGUAACUGGAUGUAAAGUAACAUUAUCAUCGGGAGAUGAAUACUGUUUCUGAAUGUGUACAACAAAAGGAGCAGCAUCUAAUGAGUUAUAUAACAGCCUUGCAACAGGGGGCUGUGGCUGUUGUGGAGUGUCUGUGUUAUUUUUUUGUAUUGUCUCUACUACUAUAGAAGAAUUCUUGCAG
Leptidea sinapis is the source of this 2559-nucleotide long non-coding RNA. RefSeq lists it as uncharacterized. The record is from RefSeq and is a predicted model, not a curated record. The transcript is spliced from 4 exons. Lineage: Eukaryota; Metazoa; Arthropoda; Insecta; Lepidoptera; Pieridae.